RNAcentral lists this ribosomal RNA (492 nucleotides) under uncultured bacterium. RNAcentral's name for it is "partial 16S ribosomal RNA". It matches the Rfam family "Bacterial small subunit ribosomal RNA", at positions 29 to 507 of the family's 1533-position model. The record is from RNAcentral.
AGCGAACGCUGGCGGUAGGCCUAACACAUGCAAGUCGAACGGCCCCACCGUAAGAGCUUGCUCUUACGUGUGGCGAGUGUCGGACGGUGGCGGUAUACUUGGGAAACUACAUUUUCGCGGGUGCUAAUGUAGGAAAACUCACGCUAAUACCGCAUAUGACCUACGGGUGAAAGCACGCGUUCUUCGGACCUUGCGCGAUUGAAUGAGCCGGUGUCGGAGUAGCUAGAUGGCGGGGUCAAGGCCCACCAAGGCGAAGAUCCGUACCUGGUCUGAGAGGAUGAUCAAGCAGACUGUAACUGAGACUGAGCACAGACUCCGACGGUAGGCAGCAGUGGGGAAUAUUGGACAAUGGGCGCGAGGCUGAUCCAGCCAUACCGCGGGGGUGAAGAAGGCCUUCGGGUUGGAAAGCCCUUUUGUUGGGAAAGAAAAGCAGUAGUUUAAUACCCCGCGGUUCUGACGGUACCCAAAGAAUAAGCACCGGCUAACUUCGUG